UUCGUUUUUGAAAUUCAGUUAAGAACGUUGUCUUUACACGGUAUUUGAACUGCAUAUUGUUAAAAUAAAAUGUGGUCUUGCUAGCAAAGUAAACACGAAAAAAGUGUCGAAUGGUUUUGGAACGUUUCACUCGCAAUAUUGUGUUUUUAGUCUUCUUAACGCAAUAUCGUGGAUCAUUUAAAAACCAAAAUGUACUCAAAAAAUACUACUCUUUUUUUCUGUGUGAUAUUCUGUCUCGUGCAAUGUUAUGAUGCCGAAACCGUGCAGACUUCUGAAUUUUCUACAGAGGAUACAUCAAGCCCAAGUGCAUACAAGUCUCACCCCAAGGAAGAAGAUGCGGAAUUGUCUAUAGAUGAAAUGAUGAAAGCUAUUGAAAAUUUAACAAAAAACCUAACGCCAGAAAAUAUGGAAGAAUUUCAAAAGAUUCUGCAAACUGACGGCAAUGACGGCGAUAACAAUGACGUUAACUUUGAGAAGUUAAACAAAUUACUUAAAAAAUCUUAUGACCCGGUUCAAAGAAAUAAUGCCGGUGAACUAUGAAUAAAUAUUGCAUUGCUUGGCAUAAAUUAAUAUAAUUUAAAAAUAUACCAUUAAAUCUCAGUUUUAUUAUUUUAUAUGUUACGUUAUAAACUAUUUUAAAUAAAUACUUCAUGUUUUGAUUAAAAUGUUACAUUGUACCAUAUAACUAUAUUAUGAUUUCACGUUUAAAUAAUAUAUUGAAUUAUAUCAAGUACAA
Molecule: long non-coding RNA, 736 nt
Organism: Adelges cooleyi (spruce gall adelgid)
Lineage: Eukaryota; Metazoa; Arthropoda; Insecta; Hemiptera; Adelgidae
Exons: 5
Source: RefSeq, a predicted model, not a curated record